GCCCGGGUGGUGAAAUUGGUAGACACAAGGGACUUAAAAUCCCUCGGACAUUGCGUCCGUGCCGGUUCGAUUCCGGCCCCGGGCACCA
RNAcentral lists this transfer RNA (88 nucleotides) under Nitrosomonas sp. Its description in RNAcentral is "tRNA-Leu". It matches the Rfam family "tRNA". From Rfam's summary of the family: Transfer RNA (tRNA) molecules are approximately 80 nucleotides in length. Their secondary structure includes four short double-helical elements and three loops (D, anti-codon, and T loops). Lineage: Bacteria; Pseudomonadati; Pseudomonadota; Betaproteobacteria; Nitrosomonadales; Nitrosomonadaceae. The record is from RNAcentral.